UACGUAGGGUGCGAGCGUUAAUCGGAAUUACUGGGCGUAAAGGGUGCGCAGGCGGCCUUGCAAGUCAGAUGUGAAAGCCCCGGGCUUAACCUGGGAAUUGCGUUUGAAACUACAAAGCUAGAGUGCAGCAGAGGGGAGUGGAAUUCCAUGUGUAGCAGUGAAAUGCGUAGAGAUGUGGAAGAACACCGAUGGCGAAGGCAGCUCCCUGGGUUGACACUGACGCUCAUGCACGAAAGCGUGGGGAGCAAACAGG
This 253-nucleotide ribosomal RNA is filed under the name uncultured bacterium. Its description in RNAcentral is "partial 16S ribosomal RNA". It matches the Rfam family "Bacterial small subunit ribosomal RNA", at positions 524 to 776 of the family's 1533-position model. The record is from RNAcentral.